UUAAGGACUGGGGUCGUGUCGCCAUUUGUUCAGUCGGAGGCGGCCGAAAAGCCGCUCUGUCCCGCACUCGGAGCUGGAAUGCACACAGUGUCAUUAAUAUCCGAGAUCCUGCAGAGGGCAGAAUUUUACCGCACGUAAAUCUGAAAGUGCAUCGAAGCGGUGCAUGGCUGCAACCCGCGCGUGACUGCCUUCUCUCUCCGAUUCAAAGAAAAAGAACAAAACUCUAUGCCAAGGAAGACAUCAUUCACCCUACUCGCUCUGAUUGAGAGAAACAUCGGCUUCGGCUCAAUGAUCUACUGAUAGGUGGGAGUUCACGGUGCCGUCAGACCGAGAGGAAGAUGAGGGAGUGACGAAGAGUGGAGACGGGACACGGCGAGGAGCGCCGCCGUCCCCUGGGAGGAAAUUAAGAAAGCAUCACCUGUUCACCUGAAAAGAAUCACC
Molecule: long non-coding RNA, 441 nt
Organism: Paramormyrops kingsleyae
Lineage: Eukaryota; Metazoa; Chordata; Actinopteri; Osteoglossiformes; Mormyridae
Source: RefSeq, a predicted model, not a curated record